GGAAUAUUGCACAAUGGACGCCAGUCUGAUGCAGCAACGCCGCGUGGAGGAUGACGGCCUUCGGGUUGUAAACUCCUUUUCUGAGGGACGAGCAAGGACGGUACCUCAGCAAUAAGUCUCGGCUAACUACGUGCCAGCAGCCGCGGUAAAACGUAGGAGGGGAGCGUUAUCCGGAUUUACUGGGCGUAAAGCGCGGGCAGGUGGUGGCUUAAGUCAUGCGUGAAAGCUCCUGGCUCAACUGGGAGAGGUCGUGUGAAACUGGGUCACUGGAGGCAGGGAGAGGUCGACGGAAUUCCGGGUGGAGUGGUGAAAUGCGUAGAGAUCCGGAGGAACACCAGUGGCGAAGGCGGUCGACUGGCCCUGACCUGACACUCAGCCGCGAAAGCAUGGGGAGCGAAC
RNAcentral lists this ribosomal RNA (399 nucleotides) under uncultured bacterium. RNAcentral's name for it is "bacterial SSU rRNA". It matches the Rfam family "Bacterial small subunit ribosomal RNA", at positions 358 to 773 of the family's 1533-position model. The record is from RNAcentral.